GUUAACUGCAUGCAGCCCAGUAUGCUCAUUGAAAUUGAAGUUAUCGGAAGUAAACAUAAUGUGGGGAGACAAUUGUUAUAGAAUAUCAAGUUAGGAACUUUACAAAAAAAGCCAAGGAACAUGCAUGAACAAAUCAUGUUAAUGUAAAAGAAAAUAUGACGUUCCUUGUGGUACAUUUGUAGCAAGUGUCACCUUGGUCCAGAGUAACAAAAUAGGAUUCAGAUAUACAAUUAAACAAAUAUUGAAUGUCAAUUGUUCGCUUAUUCACUUUAUUCAUCUAUUUGUAAUAAUAACAAUUUGUAUAACUAAAAAUAAAGAUUUUGAUAAAUGUUUGUUUAAAUUUAACCCAUAUGAUCCCAAAACAUGUCUGCUCAG
Molecule: long non-coding RNA, 375 nt
Filed under: Mytilus galloprovincialis (Mediterranean mussel)
Lineage: Eukaryota; Metazoa; Mollusca; Bivalvia; Mytilida; Mytilidae
Source: RNAcentral